UCCAUGUGAUGAGUUGCCAUGCUAAUACAGAGGGCGCUUUAGGCGCGCUGUGAGUUGAGAAUUUCAGUUGACUGAUGGAA
Non-coding RNA from Daphnia pulex (common water flea), 80 nucleotides. NCBI's taxonomy places the organism in Eukaryota, Metazoa, Arthropoda, Branchiopoda, Diplostraca, Daphniidae. The record is from Rfam.